RNAcentral lists this ribosomal RNA (2925 nucleotides) under Escherichia coli O146:H21 str. 2010C-3325. RNAcentral's name for it is "bacterial LSU rRNA". It matches the Rfam family "Bacterial large subunit ribosomal RNA". The record is from RNAcentral. Lineage: Bacteria; Pseudomonadati; Pseudomonadota; Gammaproteobacteria; Enterobacterales; Enterobacteriaceae.
GGGUUGUGAGGUUAAGCGACUAAGCGUACACGGUGGAUGCCCUGGCAGUCAGAGGCGAUGAAGGACGUGCUAAUCUGCGAUAAGCGUCGGUAAGGUGAUAUGAACCGUUAUAACCGGCGAUUUCCGAAUGGGGAAACCCAGUGUGAUUCGUCACACUAUCAUUAACUGAAUCCAUAGGUUAAUGAGGCGAACCGGGGGAACUGAAACAUCUAAGUACCCCGAGGAAAAGAAAUCAACCGAGAUUCCCCCAGUAGCGGCGAGCGAACGGGGAGCAGCCCAGAGCCUGAAUCAGUGUGUGUGUUAGUGGAAGCGUCUGGAAAGGCGCGCGAUACAGGGUGACAGCCCCGUACACAAAAAUGCACAUACUGUGAGCUCGAUGAGUAGGGCGGGACACGUGGUAUCCUGUCUGAAUAUGGGGGGACCAUCCUCCAAGGCUAAAUACUCCUGACUGACCGAUAGUGAACCAGUACCGUGAGGGAAAGGCGAAAAGAACCCCGGCGAGGGGAGUGAAAAAGAACCUGAAACCGUGUACGUACAAGCAGUGGGAGCACGCUUAGGCGUGUGACUGCGUACCUUUUGUAUAAUGGGUCAGCGACUUAUAUUCUGUAGCAAGGUUAACCGAAUAGGGGAGCCGAAGGGAAACCGAGUCUUAACUGGGCGUUAAGUUGCAGGGUAUAGACCCGAAACCCGGUGAUCUAGCCAUGGGCAGGUUGAAGGUUGGGUAACACUAACUGGAGGACCGAACCGACUAAUGUUGAAAAAUUAGCGGAUGACUUGUGGCUGGGGGUGAAAGGCCAAUCAAACCGGGAGAUAGCUGGUUCUCCCCGAAAGCUAUUUAGGUAGCGCCUCGUGAAUUCAUCUCCGGGGGUAGAGCACUGUUUCGGCAAGGGGGUCAUCCCGACUUACCAACCCGAUGCAAACUACGAAUACCGGAGAAUGUUAUCACGGGAGACACACGGCGGGUGCUAACGUCCGUCGUGAAGAGGGAAACAACCCAGACCGCCAGCUAAGGUCCCAAAGUCAUGGUUAAGUGGGAAACGAUGUGGGAAGGCCCAGACAGCCAGGAUGUUGGCUUAGAAGCAGCCAUCAUUUAAAGAAAGCGUAAUAGCUCACUGGUCGAGUCGGCCUGCGCGGAAGAUGUAACGGGGCUAAACCAUGCACCGAAGCUGCGGCAGCGACGCUGAUGCGUUGUUGGGUAGGGGAGCGUUCUGUAAGCCUGCGAAGGUGUGCUGUGAGGCAUGCUGGAGGUAUCAGAAGUGCGAAUGCUGACAUAAGUAACGAUAAAGCGGGUGAAAAGCCCGCUCGCCGGAAGACCAAGGGUUCCUGUCCAACGUUAAUCGGGGCAGGGUGAGUCGACCCCUAAGGCGAGGCCGAAAGGCGUAGUCGAUGGGAAACAGGUUAAUAUUCCUGUACUUGGUGUUACUGCGAAGGGGGGACGGAGAAGGCUAUGUUGGCCGGGCGACGGUUGUCCCGGUUUAAGCGUGUAGGCUGGUUUUCCAGGCAAAUCCGGAAAAUCAAGGCUGAGGCGUGAUGACGAGGCACUACGGUGCUGAAGCAACAAAUGCCCUGCUUCCAGGAAAAGCCUCUAAGCAUCAGGUAACAUCAAAUCGUACCCCAAACCGACACAGGUGGUCAGGUAGAGAAUACCAAGGCGCUUGAGAGAACUCGGGUGAAGGAACUAGGCAAAAUGGUGCCGUAACUUCGGGAGAAGGCACGCUGAUAUGUAGGUGAAGUGAUUUACUCAUGGAGCUGAAAUCAGUCGAAGAUACCAGCUGGCUGCAACUGUUUAUUAAAAACACAGCACUGUGCAAACACGAAAGUGGACGUAUACGGUGUGACGCCUGCCCGGUGCCGGAAGGUUAAUUGAUGGGGUUAGCGCAAGCGAAGCUCUUGAUCGAAGCCCCGGUAAACGGCGGCCGUAACUAUAACGGUCCUAAGGUAGCGAAAUUCCUUGUCGGGUAAGUUCCGACCUGCACGAAUGGCGUAAUGAUGGCCAGGCUGUCUCCACCCGAGACUCAGUGAAAUUGAACUCGCUGUGAAGAUGCAGUGUACCCGCGGCAAGACGGAAAGACCCCGUGAACCUUUACUAUAGCUUGACACUGAACAUUGAGCCUUGAUGUGUAGGAUAGGUGGGAGGCUUUGAAGUGUGGACGCCAGUCUGCAUGGAGCCGACCUUGAAAUACCACCCUUUAAUGUUUGAUGUUCUAACGUGGACCCGUAAUCCGGGUUGCGGACAGUGUCUGGUGGGUAGUUUGACUGGGGCGGUCUCCUCCUAAAGAGUAACGGAGGAGCACGAAGGUUGGCUAAUCUUGGUCGGACAUCAGGAGGUUAGUGCAAUGGCAUAAGCCAGCUUGACUGCGAGCGUGACGGCGCGAGCAGGUGCGAAAGCAGGUCAUAGUGAUCCGGUGGUUCUGAAUGGAAGGGCCAUCGCUCAACGGAUAAAAGGUACUCCGGGGAUAACAGGCUGAUACCGCCCAAGAGUUCAUAUCGACGGCGGUGUUUGGCACCUCGAUGUCGGCUCAUCACAUCCUGGGGCUGAAGUAGGUCCCAAGGGUAUGGCUGUUCGCCAUUUAAAGUGGUACGCGAGCUGGGUUUAGAACGUCGUGAGACAGUUCGGUCCCUAUCUGCCGUGGGCGCUGGAGAAUUGAGGGGGGCUGCUCCUAGUACGAGAGGACCGGAGUGGACGCAUCACUGGUGUUCGGGUUGUCAUGCCAAUGGCACUGCCCGGUAGCUAAAUGCGGAAGAGAUAAGUGCUGAAAGCAUCUAAGCACGAAACUUGCCCCGAGAUGAGUUCUCCCUGACUCCUUGAGAGUCCUGAAGGAACGUUGAAGACGACGACGUUGAUAGGCCGGGUGUGUAAGCGCAGCGAUGCGUUGAGCUAACCGGUACUAAUGAACCGUGAGGCUUAACCUUACAACGCCGAAG